RNAcentral lists this ribosomal RNA (329 nucleotides) under uncultured Bacillota bacterium. Its description in RNAcentral is "bacterial SSU rRNA". It matches the Rfam family "Bacterial small subunit ribosomal RNA", at positions 28 to 351 of the family's 1533-position model. Lineage: Bacteria; Bacillati; Bacillota. The record is from RNAcentral.
GACGAACGCUGGCGGCGUGCUUAAUACAUGCAAGUCGAGCGCGGUAAGUAAAGAAGUUUACUUUUUACUUACUGAGCGGCGGACGGGUGAGUAACGCGUGGGCAACCUACCUUCUAGCCCGGGAUAACAGAGCGAAAGAGCUGCUAAGACCGGAUAAGCUUCCGAGCAGGCAUCUGCAGGGGAGAAAAAGCAAUGCUAGAAGAUGGGCCCGCGUCCCAUUAGCUAGUUGGUGAGGUAACGGCCCACCAAGGCGACGAUGGGUAGCCGACCUGAGAGGGUGAACGGCCACACUGGGACUGAGACACGGCCCAGACUCCUACGGGAGGCAG